RNAcentral lists this ribosomal RNA (253 nucleotides) under uncultured bacterium. Its description in RNAcentral is "partial 16S ribosomal RNA". It matches the Rfam family "Bacterial small subunit ribosomal RNA", at positions 524 to 776 of the family's 1533-position model. The record is from RNAcentral.
UACGGGGGGGGCAAGCGUUGUUCGGAAUUACUGGGCGUAAAGCGUGCGUAGGUGGUGCGUUAAGUCUGUCGUGAAAGCCCCGGGCUCAACCUGGGAAUGGCGAUGGAUACUGGCGCGCUAGAGUGCGGUAGAGGAGAGUGGAAUUCCCGGUGUAGCAGUGAAAUGCGUAGAGAUCGGGAGGAACAUCAGUUGCGAAGGCGGCUCUCUGGACCAGCACUGACACUGAGGCACGAAAGCGUGGGGAGCAAACAGG